GACAGGGAGGAGCCCACAGAGAUUCAGAGUCCUAAAUCUUGGAGACAGGCUAGCUGAGCCAGAUCUGAAGGGUUACCCCGACCUAUCUUUUAGCCCUUCCCUGCAGUACCUGGUCCCCAGACUCCCACCUGGACGUUCACAGCGACUGCCCUCCACCCCUCCCCCAUCCAGCUCUGCGUUGAAGGCUUCCUCUGGAGCACAGGCCGAAGUUGGCCUGAGCCGACAGCCAGGAAAAGAGCUGGUGUGUUACUGCACAGAAGGAGACCUGUGUGAAGGUGUGGGGGGCAGGGGCAGGCCCUGGGAAGGGGACUGAAAGAGCCACAGAGGACGGAGGGAGCCGAGACUAAACGGUGCAAGCUGCCUGCUGUGGGGGGACUGUCUAGCUCCAGGCUCAGACGUGGUGUCUGCUCUUCCUGGCUGGGGUCCGGGAGUCCCCCGGGGAGUGGGCACUGCCGGCCGUCGUAGAGCAGCUUUGGCCAGGGACGGUUGGUCACUGCUGCGGCCCUGGCCAGGGAUCGGGGAGGCCGAUCCAGCUGGCGAGUUCUGUGAGCCGGGGAGAAGCGCCAGAAUUUCCCAGUCGGCCCCCUAGCCCUCCGCUUGCCGCCUCACCUCACCUUCCCCGGUGAGCGCCCUCUCUCACCUUAGCCAAACUGCCUUCUUCCCAGGGCUUAGCUGGUCUCUUCUCUUGGUCUCCGGUGCCUCCUUUCAUACCAGGGAGGAAACGUCCCCAAACAGACCUUCCUUUUGAGCGAUAUGGUCCCCCAAAGAACUAUAGGCAAAAUGAAACUCAGAAUUUGGGGUCUGACUUAACCAGAACUUCUGCCCUCCUGGGCAGUUUUGUUUCUCUGGAGCUUUCCCCCUAGAAGCUGAGAGCACUUGAAAGAAGCUACUUCUGGGCCUUAGGCUUCCACCAGGGGUCCUGGGACCCCAUCCCUAGCCUAUCAUGCUUUGACACUUGUCCUGGUAGAGGCUGGAGUUCCAAGUGCUCUGGUUGGAAAGGGAAAGAACUCAUUGUUGAAGGAAAUGCUUCUAGGCUUUGUCCAGUCUGGAUGGAGAUGGGGAAGAAUUCAACCAGUUUCCAGCAUCUCCCCUACCUUCCACGGGCCUUGUCUGAGUCUCCAUGCUCCCAUUCAGGGGCUUGCAUUAAGCUCUGGGCUCUUCCUCAGGCCCAAUCUCUGCUAGAAGAAAGCUGGUCUCUUGCCAUCAGUGCCCCAUGUCCUCUUUGGGGCUCAGAAGGUCCUAUAUUCUCUACCUGGAAGAUAGAAUGACCAAAUUCCACACAUUUAUCAAGACCUCCUAGGUUAAAGCCCCUCUGAGAAGCCUUCUCUGAUAUCUCUAGAACACAACGUCUCCCUGGCUUUCUGAAUCCCCCUGGCAUUUAUAGCCUAAGCUACAUAUGUUUUUGUGUAGUUUUAAUUUUUUCCCCUUAUAUCCAUUGGUCUUUAUCUCAUCAAUGAGCUUGGAAGAUGCUUGGGGACAAGAACUGUGCCUAGCACAAUUCUAACACAUAGGAGUUAGGAAAGCCCCUGUGGACUAAUAAUUUAGAUACAACUAUAAAGGCAUUUAUACAACUGACUUCAAAUACAAGUUGUCAUAAAAAUUCAACAGAAAAAAAAAGAAUUUGGGAGAACACACUAAAGUAUGUGGAAAAAAUCGAAGCCUAGUUCAAAAUGAUCCAGUUUAGUGAGUAGCAAAGUGGUACAGACUCGUUGCAAAUUUGUUCUUAAUUUCAUCCUCUAGCUCUGUGAUUCAUCUUUGCCAAUAGACUGUGUCUACAUAUAAGAGCUUUGGAUUCCUUCCAGCAAUCAUGGUCCAUCUAUGAGUACAAGUUAAGCUCUCCACCCACUGUGGGAAAAUUUCUUUUCACCAGCAACGGGAAUUGACAUAAGAAAAAUAAAAUUUAAAAUUUAAAUUGACAAAGCCAAAAUAAACUAUGGAAAUUAUUAAAAUUCUAAAGCCAAUUGAACACCAACAUUAAUAUUUUACCCAUCUGUGACUCCAAACAACUAAUUAAAAACCUCUAAUUUGUGACUCAAACUGGAAUUAGACCUAUAUGUGGCACACAUAUGCAAAUCACUGAUUUGGAAAUUGAUCGUCCAACAAUCUCACUAUCCAUACCAUACCCAAGAAACUGAAAAGAAGGGGAACUAAACCACUAAAUAGCCAGAAUUGAUGUUAUAUAAAGCUAUGCAUUUUGUGCACUGUAGAGUCCUUCUUACUCCAUGUCUGCUAAUUCAUAGUUUAGAUAUUGUAUUAACACGUAAUGGCAUCUGACCUCACCAAUUAGAUGCAGAAAACUAGAGGUGAGAUAGGAAAGCAGCAGUUGUUGAUGAAGCACAAUGAGAACAGGAAAA
Molecule: long non-coding RNA, 2354 nt
Filed under: Homo sapiens (human)
Lineage: Eukaryota; Metazoa; Chordata; Mammalia; Primates; Hominidae
Description: non-protein coding lnc-TMEM106C-9:1
Source: RNAcentral